AGCGAAUUGGCAGAGAGGCCGAUUGCAGGGGAUUGCUAAUCCCUACGGUGUAACAGCCGCACAGGUUCGAAUCCUGUAUUCGCUG
This 85-nucleotide transfer RNA is filed under the name Pseudomonas phage phiK7A1. It matches the Rfam family "tRNA". From Rfam's summary of the family: Transfer RNA (tRNA) molecules are approximately 80 nucleotides in length. Their secondary structure includes four short double-helical elements and three loops (D, anti-codon, and T loops). Lineage: Duplodnaviria; Heunggongvirae; Uroviricota; Caudoviricetes; Vandenendeviridae. The record is from Rfam by way of RNAcentral.